Molecule: ribosomal RNA, 492 nt
Filed under: uncultured bacterium
Lineage: Bacteria
Description: partial 16S ribosomal RNA
Rfam family: Bacterial small subunit ribosomal RNA
Source: RNAcentral
AGUGAACGCUGGCGGUAGGCCUAACACAUGCAAGUCGAACGGCAGCACAGUAAGAGCUUGCUCUUACGGGUGGCGAGUGGCGGACGGGUGAGGAAUACAUCGGAAUCUACUUUUUCGUGGGGGAUAACGUAGGGAAACUUACGCUAAUACCGCAUACGACCUACGGGUGAAAGCAGGGGAUCUUCGGACCUUGCGCGAUUGAAUGAGCCGAUGUCGGAUUAGCUAGUUGGCGGGGUAAAGGCCCACCAAGGCGACGAUCCGUAGCUGGUCUGAGAGGAUGAUCAGCCACACUGGAACUGAGACACGGUCCAGACUCCUAAGGGAGGCAGCAGUGGGGAAUAUUGGACAAUGGGCGCAAGCCUGAUCCAGCCAUACCGCGUGGGUGAAGAAGGCCUUCGGGUUGUAAAGCCCUUUUGUCGGGAAAGAAAAGCAGCAGGUUAAUACCCCGCUGUUCUGACGGUACCCAAAGAAUAAGCACCGGCUAACUUCGUG